RNAcentral lists this ribosomal RNA (468 nucleotides) under uncultured bacterium. Its description in RNAcentral is "partial 16S ribosomal RNA". It matches the Rfam family "Bacterial small subunit ribosomal RNA", at positions 28 to 507 of the family's 1533-position model. The record is from RNAcentral.
GACGAACGCUGGCGGCGUGCUUAACACAUGCAAGUCGAACGGAAAGGCCCUGCUUUUGUGGGGUGCUCGAGUGGCGAACGGGUGAGUAACAAGUGAGUAACCUGCCCUUGACUUUGGGAUAACUUCAGGAAACUGGGGCUAAUACCGGAUAGUAGCUCCUGCUGCAUGGUGGGGGUGGGAAAGUUUCGGCGGUUGGGGAUGGACGCGCGGCUUAUCAGCUUGUUGGUGGGGUAGUGGUUUACCAAGGCUUUGACGGGUAGCCGACCUGAGAGGGUGAACGGCGACAAGGGGCCUGAGAGAGGGCCCAGUGGGGUAUGUUGGACAGCAGGGGGGAGUAUGAUGCAGCGAGGGGGAGCCUAUUGAGACAGCGCUCGGGGUGGAAAGUAGGCCCUGGGGGGAGAAAGCGCGUAAGGCUAAUACGAAUCCUCAGUGACGUUAACGGGAGAAGAAGCACCGGCUAACUACGUG